Molecule: non-coding RNA, 65 nt
Organism: Dipodomys ordii (Ord's kangaroo rat)
Lineage: Eukaryota; Metazoa; Chordata; Mammalia; Rodentia; Heteromyidae
Source: Rfam
GGUGGCUCAGUGGUAGAGUGCUUGCCUUGCAUUCAAGAGGCCCUGGGUUCGAUUCCUCAGCACCA